CGCUUAUAAUAAUAAGGUUUUACCCGGAAUUAAAAACAGACAAAGGGUUUGUACCUUCGGGGCCCUCCCUUUAAAAGAAGGGAUGAUCACCCGGGGCAACAACUGGUAUGUUCACCGGGGUUAGAAGUGUAAACUCGUAAUGAUUCCUGUAGGUGAACCUGCGGAGGGAUCAUUACCGAGUUUACAACUCCCAAACCCCUGUGAACAUACCAAUUGUUGCCUCGGCGGAUCAGCCCGCUCCCGGUAAAACGGGACGGCCCGCCAGAGGACCCCUAAACUCUGUUUCUAUAUGUAACUUCUGAGUAAAACCAUAAAUAAAUCAAAACUUUCAACAACGGAUCUCUUGGUUCUGGCAUCGAUGAAGAACGCAGCAAAAUGCGAUAAGUAAUGUGAAUUGCAGAAUUCAGUGAAUCAUCGAAUCUUUGAACGCACAUUGCGCCCGCCAGUAUUCUGGCGGGCAUGCCUGUUCGAGCGUCAUUUCAACCCUCAAGCCCCCGGGUUUGGUGUUGGGGAUCGGCGAGCCCUUGCGGCAAGCCGGCCCCGAAAUCUAGUGGCGGUCUCGCUGCAGCUUCCAUUGCGUAGUAGUAAAACCCUCGCAACUGGUACGCGGCGCGGCCAAGCCGUUAAACCCCCAACUUCUGAAUGUGACCUCGAUCAGGUAGGAAUACCCGCUGAACUUAAGCAUAUCAAUAAGCG
This 696-nucleotide ribosomal RNA is filed under the name Fusarium proliferatum. RNAcentral describes it as "partial 18S ribosomal RNA". The stretch from base 324 to 477 matches the Rfam family "5.8S ribosomal RNA". Lineage: Eukaryota; Fungi; Ascomycota; Sordariomycetes; Hypocreales; Nectriaceae. The record is from RNAcentral.